UAGAUGCAACUCUUUACAGCACCUUCCUUGGUGUCUGUGUGUGGCCUGGACCCUCAGCUGAACUGACAAGCAAGAUAUCUGUGUCAGUGUACACCUCUCAUCCAUUACUGGGUCAGGGUCUGUAGGUCAGACUACCACAGCUGGUGCCCCGCGUGAGGAAUGCUGCAAGGGGAGAUUGAUGAACCCCCUGAAAAUGAAGGUGAAAAAGGAACUGCGCAGUCAGUGAGUAAUCAGAUGCAAAGCCGGAAUGAAAGCGAUGACUGCCUUGCCUGACAGACGUGUUGCUGCACACAUCUGUACACUUCAGUCAACAGAAGAGCGUGUGCACUUAUUAGAUGAGUGUUGGUAUCAAUGGAUACAUGUACAUAUCUUAGUUUUCCAAAUUCAGGGAUGUAACUUCUGUUUGCCAUAACUGAUUAGGUUCUAAUCCUCUAGGGUUAACACCUUUUGUGUUAGAACCUGUGAAGUAGAAGUAACUCAGAAGUGCUCCUCAGAGAGUAGACAGCUCUUUCUCUAACCGUUUCCAGCUCAGUAGAAUUUAGAAAGGCUUCUAGGAGGCCAACCAGUCUUUUUGAUCCAACAUUGAAUUGUAAAACCGGAUAUGGAAGCCAAAUUUCACAGUGGAUCUAACAAAGUAGCUAAUGGGUACUAUGCUUCUGAGAACCUGAACAGGCAUCUGAGAGCUGUAACUAGAAGAAAAGUAAAGACUCCGGACUCCAGCACCAAGCAGGUUUUCCUUAGCAAUUUACAACCUGAAGCUCCAAGGAAAAACUAUUUUAGCAUACACCAAAACUAUUCCCAUGUGCCAACAGGUAAGGAGACUUGUACUUAUAUUCUGUUUUAUUCUUCUCUAACUCGUUUCUGUGCACUAUUUCUAUGUUUUCUCCUUAGUUUUACCUUGCCUGGGUUUGCCCAUUUGUUAUUCAUAUCUAUUUAUCAAUCCCAAAAUACUAAAAGGAUCCAGGCAGGGCAGCUUUAAUUGGUGGCUGCACAGAGUGCUACUUCCUGUGAGGCAGCAAUUCUAACCCUAGUUGGCAUACACUUCAGAUUUUCUCAACAGCAGAAGAUGUAACCUUCCCAAGAACCCACUUCAACCCUCAGUUCUCUCACUUCUAUGUCCACGUGACACUCUGAUACAUUUUCCCACUAUGAAAAGAACUGUUCUCUUGAUAGCAUGCCAUACCUCUCCCUUCUCUGCAACUCACUCAGGACAAUCUCAGUACCUUUAUUACCUGGUCACAAGUGAGGAUGCUUCACACUCAAAUCUCAUUGGCUGGAGGGAAAGUCAUUAAGCAGAAGUGAUAAUUCUUGUCAUCACAGCUUUCUCCAAACCUUCUCCAUCGGCAUUUUACUCUCACUCUUAGAGCUUAGCUUCAACCAUCAAACAGACAGUUGAGUGUUCAACAGUCCCUUUAUGGGACAGAUUUUUUUAGUUGACUGUGUAUUCUAACCCUGAGCAAUGGGGCCCCUGGCUAAGAGAGAGAAGGGAAAGCAGAGAGGGAAGUGUUGCAAUGCUACCUUUUCAGAGAGGAAAUAGAGACAAAUAGUUUUUAUGGGUGUAAUACACAGCCUCCACUGUCCCACAAUAAGAGCAAUUGAGCUUAAAUACCAAAAAGGGCUUUUCUAUGUGAGCUGAAAACAGAAAGAGAGAGCAAAUGGGAGGAUGGGCUGGAGUAAUCUUGUUUGAAGUUCUCUCAUCCUAAGGAAGAACCUUUUCUUCCUCUGUCAUACACGAGUGCUUAGGGCUUACAUAAGCCCCAUCUGCACGCUGCUAGGAGCAGAUCAUCCUACUCAAGACAAUAAAAAAGGAAUCAUCAUGUACCUUACAUAUUUAGAGAUACGUGCGUACACUUUUCUCAUAAAUAAAGCAACACACCCCUGCCUGACCUCCUAGGACCUCCAUAGUUGAGGUAUAGUUAUUUGGAGUCAGAGAUUCUUAAACCAAUCCUGGUUCUGCUUUUUUCACUUCACCAAACCAAACUUGACCAGAUUCUUUAAUGGCUCCAAAAUCACAACCCUUUGAACUAUUUUACUCCUGUUUUCCAUUUUCCUUUAUACCUCUGUCCAGGUGGUACAGAUUUUUCUUAAAAAUCUAUGUCUGAGUGUACAGAGCUUCAAGUAAAGUUCAAGAAGGGAAUAGGAGAUCUAUCACCUUCCUUAUUACAGAAAUAUUGCUGAUAUUAAUGCAGGCUAAUGUUAUAUUAAGUCCCUUGACAGGUAUAUCAAACUAUUUGGUCUUAUCCAGUUGGUGGUCAACCAGAUAGUUAUAAGUGAGAUGGAGAGACAGGUCAUUCUCUUCCCAUAGCCCUCUCUUCCUUACCCUAUUUACCCCAAAACGCUGAGGCAGGAAAUAAUGCAUACUCCUUUGUGCACUGCUCCUCCAUUUCCCAUUUUUAAAUGGAGACAUACUUAAGGCAUAAUCUUCAGCCCUUUGCUCAUCUCUCUACACUCAUUCUCCUGCAGAUCUCAGUCACCCUCAUGGCAUCAAUCAUGAUGCCACAGAAAAACCCAUUAGUGUAUAGUCUCUGGCUUCAUCUCAGUAUAUGUACUGGGCACAUCCGUCUGGAUGUUCC
Molecule: long non-coding RNA, 2573 nt
Filed under: Homo sapiens (human)
Lineage: Eukaryota; Metazoa; Chordata; Mammalia; Primates; Hominidae
Description: HSALNT0333786
Source: RNAcentral